This is a non-coding RNA of Vicugna pacos (alpaca), 178 nucleotides long. The record is from RefSeq and is a predicted model, not a curated record. NCBI's taxonomy places the organism in Eukaryota, Metazoa, Chordata, Mammalia, Artiodactyla, Camelidae.
AUACAUUUCAGUCUGAUUCACCAUGAUCAGUCUAGUUAACAAUAUGUCAUCAUACAAAAACAGUACAUAGUUAUUGACCAUAUUUGCCACAGUGUAUAUUUCAUACCAGUGACUCAUUUGUUUUGCAACUGAAAGUUUGUACUUCUUAAUCUGCCUCAUCUUUUAAUUUCCUCCUCUA